CCCACAAAAUAAAAACUGGAAACCCACAUUUUCUUUGCUCCUACAUUUUCACUGGCGGCCUACCUUCUCCUUUCUCCCUUUGCUCCUACAUUUUCUUAUCUUUUUCUGGUUGAAAUUUGUGGGUCAAGUAACUCUUUUGAUUUACUUUUUCUUUUGUAGGUUUUACAAAGUGGAGGUCUAAAAGAGACGUUACAUUGGAUCAUACUUCUGUGGAUGUGAAGCUUAGUGAUGCGGAGAGUAAGCUUACUUUACCCUGAGAUGAAAGAAGAUGAUGGGGUGCAACAGCUCUAAUCACCGAGCAAAUGUUUAGUGCUUUUUUAUGUUUUAUUGAUAUAGAACUAUUUUUGUUCUUUUUGGAUUUAAAGUUGUAACAAUUAACUUAUAAUAUACGAGUUUGUAUUACUUGAGUUUGACAUGAAUAUAAUUUAAAUUCAUGUUACUUCUUA
Molecule: long non-coding RNA, 446 nt
Organism: Lycium barbarum (goji berry)
Lineage: Eukaryota; Viridiplantae; Streptophyta; Magnoliopsida; Solanales; Solanaceae
Exons: 2
Source: RefSeq, a predicted model, not a curated record